Molecule: ribosomal RNA, 427 nt
Filed under: uncultured bacterium
Lineage: Bacteria
Description: partial 16S ribosomal RNA
Rfam family: Bacterial small subunit ribosomal RNA
Source: RNAcentral
UGGGGAAUAUUGCACAAUGGGCGCAAGCCUGAUGCAGCCAUGCCGCGUGUGUGAAGAAGGCCUUCGGGUUGUAAAGCACUUUCAGCGAGGAGGAAGGGCAGUGUGUUAAUAGCACAUUGCAUUGACGUUACUCGCAGAAGAAGCACCGGCUAACUCCGUGCCAGCAGCCGCGGUAAUACGGAGGGGGCAAGCGUUAAUCGGAAUUACUGGGCGUAAAGCGCACGCAGGCGGUUUGUUAAGUCAGAUGUGAAAUCCCCGCGCUUAACGUGGGAACUGCAUUUGAAACUGGCAAGCUAGAGUCUUGUAGAGGGGGGUAGAAUUCCAGGUGUAGCGGUGAAAUGCGUAGAGAUCUGGAGGAAUACCGGUGGCGAAGGCGGCCCCCUGGACAAAGACUGACGCUCAGGUGCGAAAGCGUGGGGAGCAAACA